This 492-nucleotide ribosomal RNA is filed under the name uncultured bacterium. Its description in RNAcentral is "partial 16S ribosomal RNA". It matches the Rfam family "Bacterial small subunit ribosomal RNA", at positions 28 to 507 of the family's 1533-position model. The record is from RNAcentral.
GAUGAACGCUAGCUACAGGCUUAACACAUGCAAGUCGAGGGGAAACGACAUCGAAAGCUUGCUUUUGAUGGGCGUCGACCGGCGCACGGGUGAGUAACGCGUAUCCAACCUGCCCAUCACUUGGGAAUAACCUUGCGAAAGUAAGACUAAUACCCAAUGAUAUCCCACGAAGGCAUCGGAAUGGGAUUAAAGAUUUAACGGUGAUGGAUGGUGAUGCGUCUGAUUAGCUUGUUGGCGGGGUAACGGCCCACCAAGGCAACGAUCAGUAGGUGUUCUGAGAGGAAGGUCCCCCACAUUGGAACUGAGACACGGUCCAAACUCCUACGGGAGGCAGCAGUGAGGAAGAUUGGUCAAUGGGCGAGAGCCUGAACCAGCCAAGUAGCGUGCAGGAAGACGGCCCUAUGGGUUGUAAACUGCUUUUAUAAGGGAAUAAAGUGGGUCACGUGUGACUUUUUGCAUGUACCUUAUGAAUAAGGACCGGCUAAUUCCGUG